AUGGAGGGAUCCCAGCAUGCACCAGAUGUUCAUGACUCUCCGCUGCCCUCUGCCCUGGCAGUCAGGGCGCCUGGAGAAGAUGGGGAGUUUGCAGUCCUCCAGGGGCACCGCCUGUAUCCACACCAGCCACCACCACUCUGCAGUAGCAAUGGAUGUGGAAGACCACACCGAGGUAGAGAACUCCUAAACCCGAGCCGAUUCCAGCAGCACCUGCAGGGCAGACCACAGAGGGAGGCGAGGCGGCCACUGUGCCAGAGGAAGCUGGUGGUGGAUGCAUCACACAGAGCCGAGAGGCCAAGGAGAGGUGUCCUGACCUCUCUGGUCACUGAACUUGGAGACGUCGUUCAUGCAUUCCUGCUCCUGCUCCUGCUGUUCCGCUGUGCAGAAAGCCUUUCCCUGCACUUCCCGUGGAAUGUCUGCACAGUUGUUACCACGGCUUGGCUGCUCCCCUAG
RNAcentral lists this long non-coding RNA (453 nucleotides) under Felis catus (domestic cat). RNAcentral describes it as "lncRNA (ENSFCAG00000050081.1)". Lineage: Eukaryota; Metazoa; Chordata; Mammalia; Carnivora; Felidae. The record is from RNAcentral.